Molecule: ribosomal RNA, 1247 nt
Filed under: 'Capsicum annuum' phytoplasma
Lineage: Bacteria; Bacillati; Mycoplasmatota; Mollicutes; Acholeplasmatales; Acholeplasmataceae
Description: bacterial SSU rRNA
Rfam family: Bacterial small subunit ribosomal RNA
Source: RNAcentral
GAAACGACUGCUAAGACUGGAUAGGAAAAGUGAAGGCAUCUUUACUUUUUUAAAAGACCUUCUUUGAAGGUAUGCUUAAGGAGGGGCUUGCGACACAUUAGUUAGUUGGCAGGGUAAAGGCCUACCAAGACUAUGAUGUGUAGCUGGACUGAGAGGUUGAACAGCCACAUUGGGACUGAGACACGGCCCAAACUCCUACGGGAGGCAGCAGUAGGGAAUUUUCGGCAAUGGAGGAAACUCUGACCGGGCAACACCGCGUGAACGAUGAAGUACCUCGGUAUGUAAAGUUCUUUUAUUAAGGAAGAAAAAAGAGUGGAAAAACUCCCUUGACGGUACUUAAUGAAUAAGCCCCGGCUAAUUAUGUGCCAGCAGCCGCGGUAAUACAUAAGGGGCGAGCGUUAUCCGGAAUUAUUGGGCGUAAAGGGUGCGUAGGCGGUUUAAUAAGUCUAUAGUUUAAUUUCAGCGCUUAACGCUGUUGUGCUAUAGAAACUGUUUUACUAGAGUGAGAUAGAGGCAAGCGGAAUUCCAUGUGUAGCGGUAAAAUGCGUAAAUAUAUGGAGGAACACCAGAGGCGUAGGCGGCUUGCUGGGUCUUUACUGACGCUGAGGCACGAAAGCGUGGGGAGCAAACAGGAUUAGAUACCCUGGUAGUCCACGCUGUAAACGAUGAGUACUAAGUGUCGGGUAAAACCGGUACUGAAGUUAACACAUUAAGUACUCCGCCUGAGGAGUACGUACGCAAGUAUGAAACUUAAAGGAAUUGACGGGACUCCGCACAAGCGGUGGAUCAUGUUGUUUAAUUCGAAGAUACACGAAAAACCUUACCAGGUCUUGACAUUUUCUUGCGAAGUUAUAGAAAUAUAAUGGAGGUUAUCAGGAAAACAGGUGGUGCAUGGUUGUCGUCAGCUCGUGUCGUGAGAUGUUAGGUUAAGUCCUAAAACGAGCGCAACCCUUGUCGUUAAUUGCCAGCAUGUAAUGAUGGGGACUUUAACGAGACUGCCAAUGAAAAAUUGGAGGAAGGUGGGGAUUACGUCAAAUCAUCAUGCCCCUUAUGAUCUGGGCUACAAACGUGAUACAAUGGUUGAUACAAAGAGUAGCUGAAACGUGAGUUCUUAGCCAAUCUCACAAAAUCAAUCUCAGUUCGGAUUGAAGUCUGCAACUCGACUUCAUGAAGUUGGAAUCGCUAGUAAUCGUGAAUCAGCAUGUCGCGGUGAAUACGUUCGCGGGGUUUGUACACACCGCCCGUCA